RNAcentral lists this transfer RNA (69 nucleotides) under Mitsuokella multacida. It matches the Rfam family "tRNA". Rfam says of the family: Transfer RNA (tRNA) molecules are approximately 80 nucleotides in length. Their secondary structure includes four short double-helical elements and three loops (D, anti-codon, and T loops). The record is from RNAcentral. Lineage: Bacteria; Bacillati; Bacillota; Negativicutes; Selenomonadales; Selenomonadaceae. RNAcentral also lists the same sequence under 6 other names.
GGAUGUAGCGCAGUUUGGUAGCGCGCCUGCUUUGGGAGCAGGAUGUCGCAGGUUCGAAUCCUGUCAUCC